RNAcentral lists this long non-coding RNA (396 nucleotides) under Bos indicus x Bos taurus (hybrid cattle). RNAcentral describes it as "lncRNA (ENSBIXG00005027880.1)". Lineage: Eukaryota; Metazoa; Chordata; Mammalia; Artiodactyla; Bovidae. The record is from RNAcentral.
CAGGCGUUUGCGGUUCGUCUGUAAACGCAAACACCUGUAUCCAGUCAAGCUAUGAUGGUUAUCCUCUCUUUGCCUGUCAUUCCCUUCGGUUCCUUGAAGGGGCUGCCAGGAUGUUCUAAGCUGUGAGUUGAUUUAUAAGGUGAAGGAUCUCUCCGAAACUUUGGCAUGGACGGGGAAAUUGACUAAACGCACCUCUCCUCCAGGGGGUGACGCGGCCUUUUGACAAUGAUUCAUCCGAGAAGGAAAAGAUCUAUGUGGAGAACAGAAUGUCCUGGGAUCAUUUUUUCUUCUACUUUUCUGUCUGAUCUCUUCCUUGCCAAAUUCUGAGUCUAUGGAAAAAUUGACCCAAUCCUUUGUGUGUCGUUAAUAAAAUUAUGAUUUAAGUUUUGUCCCCCA